RNAcentral lists this long non-coding RNA (36317 nucleotides) under Coffea arabica (coffee). RNAcentral describes it as "long non-coding RNA (CARA_LNC007308)". The record is from RNAcentral. Lineage: Eukaryota; Viridiplantae; Streptophyta; Magnoliopsida; Gentianales; Rubiaceae.
UUGUAAAUUGUGUGAAAUAAGGAAUAAGGAAGAAAGGGAAAAGAUAAGGAAUAAAAAUUAAACCAAUAUCAAUUUAUUCCUGUUGGUAUUUUCUAUGAGUGAUUCUAACAGUUGUCAGAUGGGCACCAGUUAAUAGAUGUAACAUACUAUAAAAUUGCACAUACUAAUUAUUAUUACCCUAUUUUGUAUUUAUACACUUUUUCUAAUUAAUUUCAUUUUUUAUAAAAUUUAAAACCUAAAACAAAUCUUAACAAAUGUACAGCGGAUAUUUGUUAGAUAGGGCUAUUUUCUAUAUUUUAUUUAUAUAUAAUUAAAAUUGUGACAUAUGAUGUCAACCAAUUCUCUGGUUUUUGAACCCUGAACCAAUCGAUUGAACUAAUUGACACUUGAUCCCUGAACCCACCCAAGUCGACAUUCAUUUGGUCCAAAUUUCAAAACAUAGCUUUCAAGCGUACAACAAAUUCACUCAUUAACAUAUCUUCAGCACAAAUCAGAAGUGAAGUAGUUUUUAUUAUCAUUUAUAGGGAUAGCAAUGGGUCGGGUGACUAGCGGGCACCCGUCCCGCAGGGGACUGUCGGGGCGGGCGUUGGAGCGGGGGCGGGGGGAAAUUUUAUUCCCCUAUCUAGAAACGGGGCGGGGGUCCCCCGCCCCAACCCCCGCCUCGUCCCCCACCAAAAAAAUAUAUACAUACAUACAUAUAUAUAUAUAUACACACACACACACACACAAGUAACAAAAGAACAAACGAAGAAACGAACCUCCAUACUUCUCACACCCUCUCUACAGAUAAUAACAAACCAUGACCAGAUUUUGAGUCUUCCCCAGCAGACUUCUCAUCAUCAUCAACAACUAAUGCAUAAUUUAAACUAGGCCCACUAGCUACUUUGCCAACAGGAGUAAAAUUGUCAGCGUCUACCAAAUCAUCAGCAACAUUGAAAUGCAAACUAGGCUCACCGCAACUUUGUUGAUAUUUCUGCUUCAAUCGUUGUUGAUUACCAGCACCAAAUCUUCCAGAACAUCCAGAUGCUGGGCUCUUCAGAUUUGCCCUCAAAUCUGAAGAAAGUUUCGACCUUUGGGAAGAAGUUUUUGAAGUGGGCCUUCUAGCGGAUUGCCACUGGGAAAGGAAAGAAGGGUUCUUUCUAAAACAUUGUGAAGACGAUUUUUUAGGCACAUCAUUUUCGUUAGCAAUGGAUUUAUUAGAUCAAGGCCUGGAGGAAUUAGGACCUAAUUUUGGGGCGGACUUGGCAAGGAGGGGUUUAUUUUUGAGUUUGAAAUUGGGAUCCUUCUGAAGAUGGGAACUCGAAGAAGAAGAAGAGGAGCGAGGUCUUGAGUUUGACGUGGAGGAAAGCAGAAACUUGAGGCAACGGGGGACCGCGGGGGACUGUGAGGAAACGGGGCGGGGGGGUGGGGGGCAAAGGGCGGGGGGAGAUAUUUGACAAUGGGGCGGGGGACGGGGGAAGGAUCCCCCGCCCCUUUGCCAUCCCUAAUCAUUUAUAUGGUAUGAGAAAAAUUGUGCUCUUCUUUCUAUGGUUUAUAGGUUUACAUAGUAUACAUGAUGAGGAGUCUUCCUAAUGGAAAUUAUUCACCUACAGAACACCAUAUCAGGAUGUUACAUGAAAUGGUCAAUAGCAGGUAAAACAUAUCUUAUAAUCAAUCGUUACACGCUAUGAUUAUAACUUUUUUCUUUUUUCACUUGACCAUUUACUUUCUAUUUUUGGACAGUAAUUCAAGUGCAUACCUCAUCAGAAGUUACAAGAGAAGGUUUAAUGGAUUUGCAGUGAAUCUUACUCACACUGAACAACAAAAAUUGGCAAGACAAUCUUUAAUGUAACUAUUGUUGUAAAAAAUAAUAAAAAAAAAUAGAUAUUUCAAAAGAUUUUAUUAUGUUUGAUACUGUUUGGAUAAGAGUUUUAUCUGAUAAAGUUUCAUCAGAAAUGUUUGUUCCUAUUUUGAGGGAGAAAUUCUCAAAGAUAAGAUUUUGAUAAAGGACUAAAAGCCAAAACCAAGAAGUCAGAUUGUGAGACGUCUUGAUAAGUUCGGUCAAAUGGCCUUCCUGAUGGCCGGACCUUUUCCAACUAUUCACAAUAGAGGAUAGACCUCUGACUACUUCAAAUGAUAAGUCUGGCACAGGAUGCAUGGCCAUUCUCACAGGAAAUCAACUUUUCAAAAUUCUAUCCUCUUCCGUAUCCUGUAUCAUGAAGCCUAUAAAUAGAACCAUUUGUCAGGUUCAUUUUCAUACUGAUGAAUGAAGUCUACACUUCGUAAACUCGCUCCUCCUUCUCCUCUAUUUGCUCUCCUUAACUUUCUUAUUUUACCUGCUAGUUUUGUUCCAAAAUUUUGCUGGUUCUACGUCCCUCUCACAAAGUAAAGGAAGACUUGUUUAAUCUUGGGGAAACAUUUCAAUACUCUGAAAUAGUUUCUUAGGACAGUACUUUCAAGCACGACUCAAGUGUUCAAGUGUUAGCAUUAUUCGGGCCAUUUAUACUACAAUCUAAGAAACUAUGGCAGUCGACAGUGUUAACACCCCACAACCAUCCUCCACAGCAGUCACACUACCUUUUGCGAAACCAUUUUCUGACGUCUCUAGAAUUGAGGUUUUUGCUGACGAAAACUUCAAAAGAUGGCAAGAACGUGUUUACUCUGUACUCAACAUUCAUGAAGUGGCCCAUGCACUGACAGAAUCUCAACCUGCUGCAACCGUAGAUGUCAAGAUACAAGAGUCGUGGCAAUAUGCCAAUAAGGUAUGUCGACAUACAAUUUUACAAAUACUUUCUAAUGAGUUAUUUGACGUAUUCUAUAGCUGCAAAGAAACCAAGCAAAUUUGGGAAGCGUUGGUAACAAAGUUUACCACUGAAGACGCAACCAAACAAAAAUUUGUUGUGGGAAAAUACAAUCAAUGGCAGAUGACCGACAACAAAGAAAUGAAAGCUCAGGUCACAGAAUACCAAAUGUUACUCGAGGAGCUAAAAAAUGAAGAGAUCAAGCUGCCCGAGAAAUUUGCUGCAAGCAUGCUAAUUGAAAAGCUACCUGAGUCAUGGGCCGACUACAAAAAUAACCCGAAGCACAAGGAAGAAAAUUACACAAUUGAUGAACUCGUGAAACACAUCCUGAUUGAAGAUUCACACAGGAAAGAGUUGAGAGCUGCUAAAGCAAAGGAGAUGGCAUUUAAAGCUAAUCUGGUACAAAGCAACAACAAAAGGUACGCCAAUAAGUCCCAAAGUAACAAGUCUUGGAAUCCCAACUACAAAUCAAAGAAUCCCAACUUUAAGAAAAAGAAAGGCAAUUGCUACAGUUGUGGAAAACCAGGUCACCAUGCUGCUCAGCGCUGAUAUAAUAAAGGAGACAAAGCAAUUGGUAAUCCUCCUAAGGCUAAUUUAGUCGAAGGGGAUGAAUAAUUGUUGCAGUUAUUUCACAAGUAAACAUUGUAGUCAAUGUGAAAGAGUGGGUGGUAGACUCUAGAGCUACUCGGCACAUAUGUGCAAAUCGAGAAGCAUUUUGCUCCUAUACUCCAAUAGAGGAGGGUGAAGAGGUAGUCUACCUUGGAGACUCACGAACUGCUAAAGUUCUUGGUAAGGGCAAAGUGUUCUUGAAUCUCACUUUAGGAAAAACUUUGGCCCUUAAUGAUGUGCUGCAUAUUCCAAAUAUUCGGGCAAAUCUUGUUUCUGUGGCUUUGCUUGGAAAAGUUGGGGUGAAAGUGUCAUUCGAAUCUGAUAAGAUUGUAAUGAGAAGAAAUAAUGUAUUUGUAAGGAAAGGUUAUUGUAACCAAGGACUUUUUGUAUUUAACAUUUCCAAUGUGAUCAAUGAGAAUGCUUCUUCUUUUGCUUAUAUUGUUGAUUCAAUUUCUUUAUGACAUGCAAGAUUAGGACAUGUUAAUAUGAGUUAUAUAAAGAAAAUGCAAUCUUGUGGUCUAAUUUUUGGUAUUAAUGAAAAAAUGGACAAAUGUGAGAUAUGUGUUGAAACUAAAAUGACAAAGAAGACUUGUAUAACUGUUCAAAGAGAAACUGAACUAUUAAAUUUAAUCAACACAGAUUUAGGUGAUUUAAAACAAACUACGACUAGAGGAGGAAAAAGAUAUUAUGUUACUUUUAUAGAUGACUACUCUAGAUAUAUUAAACUUUAUUUACUUAGAAAUAAAGAUGAUACUCAUAAUACUUUUUUAUCUUAUAAGUCUGAGGUAGAAAAUUAACUUAAUAAGAAGAUAAAAAGAAUUAGGUCUAGAGGAGGCGAAUAUUUAGCCUUAGAUAAAUUUUGUGAACAUGAAUGCAUAAUACACGAAAUAACACCUCCUUAUUCACCCGAAUCUAAUGGAGUAGCUGAAAGGAAAUAUAGAACACUAAAAGAAAUGAUGAAUUCUAUGUUAGUUAGUUCUCAUGCUCCUGAUAAUUUAUGGGGAGAAGCUAUCUUGUCCGCAUAUCACUUACAAAAUAGGAUACCUCAUAAGAAAACUAGCAAAACCUCUUAUGAGUUAUGGAAAAAUUAUAAACUUAAUUUGAAAUAUUUGAAAGUAUGGGGGUGCCUUGCUAAAGUAUUGUUGCCUGAAUCUAAGAAAAGAAAAUUAUGUUCUAAAACUUCUGAUUGUAUGUUUAUUGGAUAUGCUAAACAUAGUGCUGCAUAUAGAUUUCUUGUUUUAAGAAGUGACAUGCUUGAUUGUAAUACAAUUAUUGAGACAAAGAAUGCUGAAUUCUUUGAACAUAUUUUUCACUGUCUAGUAAAAUUUCUCAUGCACCAGUUGAAAUAAAUAGAGAAAUAAUUCCGAAUAAGAAAUUAAGAAGAAGUAAAAUGGCAAGAAAAGAAUUUUCUUAUAGAAAUGAUUUUCAAACUUUCUUGUUGAUAAUGAUCCUCUAACAUACUCAGAUGCUAUUUCUUCCCCUGAUUGUAAAUUUUGGAAAGAAGCAAUUAAAUCUGAAAUUGAUUCUAUCUUGACAAAUAAAACUUGGAUUUUGGUAGACUUACCUCCUGGUGCAAAACUUAUUGGUUGUAAAUGGAUUUUUAAAAGAAAAUAUAACUCUAAUAGCUAUAUAGAAAAGUACAAAACUCGUUUAGUAGAAAAAGAAUUUUUUCAAAAAUAAAAUAUUGACUAUUUUGAUACAUUUGCACUAUUAACAAGAAUUGCGUCUAUUCGAGUUUUAUUUGCCUUGGCUUCUCUCCAGAAACUUGUUAUUCAUCAAAUGGAUGUCAAAAUAGCCUUUUUAAAUGGUGAUCUAGAAGAAGAAAUUUAUAUGUUUCAACCUAAGGGAUGUAUUGUAUCUGAACAAAAGAAUAAAGUUUGUAAACUAAUUAAAUCUCUUUAUGGUCUAAAACAAGCUUCUAAACAGUGGCAUGAGAAAUUUGAUCAAGUGUUGAUAAAAGAUAGAUUCUCGUUAGUAGAAGUGGAUAAAUAUGUAUAUGUCAAAAUUAUAAAUAAUCAAUAUGUGAUAAUUAGUUUGUAUGUGGAUGAUAUACUUAUAUUUGGUACUAAUCUAGAUAUUGUAAAUAGUACUAAAUAUUUUUUGUCUUCUAAUUUUGAUAUGAAAGAUAUGGGUGAAGCCAGAAUGAUAUUGGAUGUUAAAAUCAUAAGGAGAGGUGAUGGUAUAAUGUUGUCACAAGAACAUUAUACAGAGAGACUUCUUAGGAAGUUUGAAAAUUAUGAUGUAAUACCUGUGAGUACUCCUUAUGACGCUAACACUCAGUUAAAGAAAAAUAACGAUGACCCAAUUGCUCAGUUUAAAUAUGCUCAGAUUUUUGGAAGUUUAAUGCGUCUGAUGAAUUUCACUAGACCGGAUAUAGCUUAUGCUGUAUGUAGACUGAGUAGAUAUACUCACAAUCCCAAUCGUGAGCAUUGGUUUGCAUUAGUCAGACUAAUGAAAUAUUUGAGAGGUACCAUGAAUUUUGAUAUCUUGUAUAGUGGAUUUCCUACUGUAUUAGAGGGUUACAGUGAUGCUAAUUGGAUCUCUGAUUCAAAUGAUACAAAAUCCACUAGUGGUUAUGUGUUCACCCUUGGUGGUGGUGCAGUAGCAUGGAAGUCAGCCAUACAAACGAUUAUUGCUCGGUCAAUUAUGGAAUCGAAGUUCAUAGCUCUGGAGUUGACUGGUUCUGAGGUAGAUUGGUUAAGAAAUUUCUUAACCAAUAUUCAUCCUAUUAAGGAUCUGUUGCCUCCUGUGUUUAUACACUAUGACUGUCAAGCGGCUAUUGCUAUUGCAAAAAAUAAAUCUUAUAAUUGUAAAAGUUGACACAUGAGAUUGAGAUAUGAUGUCGCAAAGCAGCUGCUUAGAGAUGGAAUUAUUUCCAUUGAUUUUGUGAAGUCGAAGUUGAAUUUGACCGAUCCUCUGACUAAAUCUGUAGGAAGAAAAUUAAUUCUUCAAACUACAAGGGAGAUAGGACUUAGGCCAACGGUUAUCAAUAGAGAUGGUAAUCCAACCUAUGUGAUUGGUGAUCCCAUGAAAUAGGUUCAUAUGGGUAAUAACAAGUUGAUAUUGACUGUAAAGCACUUGAAAUUUAAGUCCCUUCGAAAAUAAGUGCUUUGACUGCCAGUUAUUGUGAGGCUGAGUUUAAUACUCUUAAUGAAUUUAUAUCCCUUUAGGGAGGUGUAUUUAGGGCAGUAUACACUUGAUAAAUUCACUUAUAUGUGAGAGGAGUAGGGCCGCUCCCAUAAGAUUUUUUGGCCGAAUCUUUAGAGCUCUCAUGAACAACCAGACAGGCGCAUGGCCUAAAUGCGCGAAACUAUAUUGAACAGCAACAUUAUGGGUUACAAUGUGAUUGAUAAAAUCUCUAUCAUACAACAAGAAUUAUUGGUUCAUAGAAAUUUAUUUUUUCACCAAUAAUUCUAUAAGACAUAUUUUAUCAAUUUAAGUUUGGUUCAUAGUCUAAAAAAUAACAAACUGAUUACAUUGAACUCAGACAAAUCCAGCAGAUGUUCAUACUCUCUUGUCCAAAAUCUUUUGAAAUAGGUGGGAGAUUGUUGUAAAAAAAUAAUAAAAAAAUAGAUGUUUCAAAAGAUUUUAUUAUGUUUGUUACUAUUCGGAUAAGAGUUUUAUCUGAUAAAGUUUCAUCAGAAAUGUUUGUUCCCAUUUUGAGGGAGAAAUUCUCAAAAAUAAGAUUUUGAUAAAGGACUAAAAGCCAAAAUCAAGAAGUCAGAUUGUGAGACGUCUUGAUAAGUUCGGUCAAAUGGCCUUCCUUAUAGUCUGAUCUUUUCCAACUGUUCACAAUAGAGGAUAGACCUCUGACUACUUCAAAUGAUAAGUCUGGCACAAGAUGCAUGCCCAUUCUCACGGGAAAUCAGCUUUUCAAAAUUCUAUCAUCUUCCGUAUCCUGUAUCACGAAGCCUAUAAAUAGAACCAUUUGUCGGGUCAUUUUCACACUGAUGAACGAAGUCUACACUUCGUAAACUCUCUCCUACUUCUCCUCUAUUUGCUCUCCUUAACUUUCUUAUUUUACCUGCUAGUUUUGUUCCAAAAUUUUGUUGGUUCUACGUCCCUCUCCCAAAGUAGAAGAAGACUUGUUUAAUCUUGGGAAAAUGUUUCAAUACUCUGAAAUAGUUUCUUAGGACAGUGCUUUCAAACACGACUCAAGUGUUAGCAUUGUUUGGGCCAUUUAUACUACAACUAUCAGUGGAAAAAGAGUGGUAAACAUGGUAUCCGCAUCUCUUGAGUGGUUUGAUGGCAUCCAUAUUGUUAGAAGUCCAAUAAUAUUGUAUACAAAAAAGUGAAACAAAAACUGAGGCUGUAAUAGUCUAAUCAUUGUAAUUUAGUUCUUCUACUGAAACUUAAGUAAUGAAGCAUGCCAUAUAUUGGACUGAAGUGUUCUGAAUGUAAACAAAGUUGGGAUUCUUUGUAGUUAUGAAGAUCAACUCUUACACUAUAAAGAAAAAAAAAAUUGGAAUAAGAUGAGAAGAGAAAGGAAAAUAAAUGGAUAAAAUAUGUGUGGAGUCCAAGAGAGGGGGGCGCAAAACCGUAUUUGUUUUCCAAGAGAGGUGUGCAUAAAGGAACCUCCUUGUUCUUUGUUGACUUCUAAUGCCAUGCUUUCCCUAUAAGCUUAACGUUCGGAAUAUUCCCUAUCUCCUCUUAUGCUUUCUCUUCAUUGUUGCAAAAACAUUUCGUGAUGCUUCUUUUUCCUUGAAGAUCGGGGUUUCAAUACUUUGAGUUAAUUUUAUGAAUAAGAAUUGAAUGUUUAUUAAGGGAUAAUUUCAGAAACCUCCCCUCGAGGUCUUUAACAAUUUCAAGAAACUCCCCUUAGGUUUCAAAAAUUACACUUACCUCCCUUACUUUCACUAUUUAUGCUUCAAAAUAGGCCCAAUAAGCUACCAAUUCCUUCAAAUAUCCUAAACUACCCUUUUCAUCAAAAUGAUAAAAAGGAAAAAUAAAUAGAGCUUUGUUGAUUGCCUUUCUCCCAACACCAAAGCCAACAAAUUCUUUCUACCAAAAAAUAAAGGUUUGGAAAAAAAAUUCAACUAUGAUGAUUGCCUUCUUCAAAGCAAUACCACCACAAAAGCCAAGCAAACACCCUAAUUUAAAUCAAAAUAAAUUCUAAUAAUUAUAGCACUCAAAACACUACAACCUAAUUUAUGUCCAAUAACCCCAACCCCUACAUUUACUACAUAAGUCAAUUAAAUCCAUCACUUGGUGCUAAACUAGAUAAAACCCAACCUCAAAUUUUACCCAAAACUAACAUCUCAUCAACAAUCAAUAGCAGUUCUUUUUAUCUUCCUCUCUUUGCAGCCUUCUUUAUUAUUUUUUUCAACCACCCAUUUCUAAAGUCCAUCAAUCCCUCAAAUUCUUGACUUUUGACAUCACUAAGUCUUAUCAUCCAUAAUCAACCAACAUUGGAUAAAAUAAAUAGACGCAGAAAAAUGAAACCCAUGACAUUUAAAAUUAAAAGGAUAAAAAGGAUGAACCUAAUCAUAUUUGCAAAAAAGAGAUGAGAAUAGAGAUAAAAAAAAAAAGAGGGAAGGAGAGGGAUAAAUAUGGGCAAGGUAUGAUAGAUAGAAUUUGGUCUUAAAUUAGAGGAAGAAUAUAAGGCAAAGAGGAAUGGGUGCAGGAAUUUAGCAAAAAUGGAAAUGAAAGAAAAAGUAAGGUAGAGAGGAGGAAACAAGAGAGAAAGAGAGAGAGAAAUAGAUAGAAUAAGUCAAUUUUUGGUUUUUCUUGAAAUUUCUGAAAUUUUCCAAAAAAAAGUCAUUAAGUAUCCUAUAUAGGGGUAGUAGAGUACUUUUCCAGUAAUAGGGAAGGUAUGUGUAAUUUUAAAAUAUUAAGGGGAUCUUUGUGAAAUUGUUAAAAAGCUCAGGGAGGUUUCUAAAAUUAUUCCGUUUAUUAAUUGUCCACUAGGAGGCGCCAGUGGCAAGAAAUUGGUCAACUAAAUUUGGUUGUUCACAAUCUAAGGUUGAAUUAAGCGGGUCUUGAAAUAUUUUAAGUAAUUAUUUGCAUAUCUCAUUUGGAUUGAAACUAUAUCAUCUUUGUUACUAUUCUAUGUAUGGACAAUUCUUGUAAGUAGCUUAUCUUGUAGUGACGAGUAAAUGUGCACAACUAAGAAUAGAUUUUUUAUCGAGUUUAUCUCUCAUCAAUUAUAGAAAGAGACCCGUUGCUUGAUUACAAAUGCGAGGAAAAGUCUUAAUUCUUUGAGCUCGUUUUUUAGGUGGAAAGCCCCAGAAGUACCCAACAGUUUUGGACUAAAUAGCUACUAAAAAUAACCAAAAAAUUGACAUAAUUUAUAAAGGCUCAUUUUAGACUCUGAAUCCUAUCCAGUCUUAAGGUCUAGAACCAUACCCAAAACCAAUUGGAAGGAGAGGCCAAUCAUGGGUAUCUGUUGUCUCUUCAUGUAAUUUAAUUAAGAAUAUGCAUGUAUGUAUCUAUAUAUGUACAUAAGUAUGAAUGUGUGGUAUAUGGACGUGCAUGUUUGUGUGUACAUGUCCGGUAUAUUUUGGAUAUCAGUCGAUUUAUUCUAAGUUUGGAAGCGAAAAUGAUUUAUUCUAAGUUUUUUGUGUCGAUUUAUACAAAUCCUGCCUAAUUAAGUCCAAUGAUUCUCUUUUGGGAUUUAGAUUUGAGGAAGGUGUGCUUUUCAAAACUCCCCAGCUUGUUUGAAAGUAUCAUGGGUCUUUAACAUAUCCUUAUACUAUAUAAAAUUGAGUUUUGGUCAAAGAAUAUGUUGAAUUUCAACCGCAUAGGUGGGGGCUUUCUGGAAAUGUGACAUAUUGUGUAUUAGUUUAAAACCUUUAGGUACAAGUUAAGGAAGCAUGUAUUUAGGUAUGUUUACUGAAAUGACCCCAUUUUAAUACAUUUAAAGUUGUCAUUGAUGAGGCAUCUGGGUAUUGAUGGAAUGUGUAAUUAGUGUGCAACCGUUUUUGCAUUUUGUAAAAUCCAUAUAUGCUUGUGUGUUGGUAUAAUUACCGGAAUAUCCCUUAACUACCAAUAAUUUCCCUUUUAAGCCGCAAAUAACGGAUUGAGAUGUUGCUUUGUCUGAAACAUUUGAUGGCAAUCGAGUUUAGGAAAUGAGCCAAUAAUUUCUUUAUCAAUGGUAGGAACCCAUUUCUCUAUCAUUUAUAAUCUGCAUUUAUGAGUCACAAACGUUGGUCAUUUUAUCUCCUUUCAACUUCAGGAGUUAAGGUUUCCCUUUUUGCCUUUGUCUACAACGAUUUGCCUUAUCGUUUUCUCUUCCAUCCGAACUUAACUAUGAAAUUACCUAUUAUUUCGUCAUUAAUUACACCCAAUUCAAUUCCCGAACCAUUGGUAUCUUAAUGCCUAAACGGCUGAUUAUCAGUUUCUCCCUGUUCACAUUCCAGGAUUGGGAUAAUUCUACCUGACUUCAUACUAAUCAGCUCAGAAUGCUCUUCAGUCCCAACUACUCCUGGUGGUUCAGCAUGAGGUUAGAUUUCACCCUCCCAAUUUUUCAGUUUCUCCCUUAAUUUUGUCGGUAUGUUCUUAGUACCUACAAUUAGCGACUCUUAUCGUGUUGCCUAACGGCAAGAUAGCAUUUUUCGCAUUGCCUAAACUCAAUUGGUCUGAAUUGGUUAUAAUCUUAUAGGUUUGGAGCAACAGCAAGAAAGAGCUCUCGGUGGAGAUUCUGGAAUAAGGUUAGCUUUUUGUGUUGCUCUGCCUUUCUGCAUUAUCAACGACCUUCAAUUUGACACAGUUUUAUUGUAACGCUGUGUGAAUUUGAUUGAUUAUAUCGUUUAUCUUUUUAUACUAAGUUUUAUAUCUUCUCACAAUGUACUAUUGUUUGUUCAAUGUGUGAAUGUCAUUGUCUUCAAUUGAGUUCAAUUGCUGAGGUGGUGCGUUGCGAUUGGCCGAUUGGUGGUAGUCCACCAAUUGAUUCCAAUUUGAUGAGUUGUCGUCCUCUGAUUUGUCGAUUGGUGGUAGUUCUCCCAAUUGCACAAGAAAUUGAUGAUGUGGUGAAUUUUGAUGGGAUGGGAGGUGGUGGUCCUCUAAUUGUAAGUGGGAUUGUACUAAAAUUUGGCUUCUUUUUUAUUAGCCCAACAUAUCACAUUAACAAAAAUUUGGUUUUCUUUUUUUUGUUGUCCACCAAAUCACCUCUAAUUACCAAUUCUUUGCAAUUAAUUGUUAAUAAUGUAAUGUUUUUGGUCAUCCAACAAAUCAUGUUUGAUUAACAAUUUUUUGCAAUUAUUAACAAAAAAUUGACUUCUUUUUUAUGGUUGCUCAAAAUACCACAUUUAAUUAUCAAUUUUUUUCAAAUGUUAUAAAAAAAUAUCCUCUUUUAUUUGGGUUAUCAAACAAAGCAUGUUUACUUAUAAAUUUUUUUACAGUUAAUUGUUCAUUAAUUAAUUAAUAAUUUCACUUUUUUUAUUGCAUAACAAAUCACAUUUAAAAUUACCAGCUUUUUGGUCAAUUGAUGGUAGUCUUCCAAUUGAUUCCAAAUUGACGGAGUGCCAUUUUGUGAUUGGUCAAUUGGUGGUAAUCCUCCUAAUUGUAUAUGAAAAUGGUGAUGUAGAAAGUUUUGAUUGAAUAAGAGGUGGUAGUCCUCUAAUUACACGUAGGUAGUCAAUUAUUAACAAAAAAUUGACUUCUUUUUUGUGCUUGCCCAAAACACCACAUUUAAUUAUCAAUUUUUUUUCAAAUGUUAUAAAAAAACAUCCUCUUUUAUUUGGGUUAUCAAACAAAUCAUGUUUAAUUAUACAAUUUUUUGCAGUUAAUUGUUCAUUAAUUAAUUAAUAAUUUCACUUUUUUAUUGCAUAACAAAUCACAUUUAAUUACCAGCUUUUUGGUCCAUUGAUGGUAGUCCUCCAAUUGAUUCCAAAUUGACGGAGUGUUAUUUUAUGAUUGGUCAAUUGAUGGUAAUCCUCCUAAUUGUAUAUGAAAAUGGUGAUGUAGAAAGUUUUGAUUGAAUAAGAGGUGGUAGUCCUCUAAUUACACGUAGGAUUGUGCUAAAAUUUGGCUUUUUUUUUUUUUGCCCAACAAAUCACAUUAGCAAAACUUUGAGCAAAAAUCACAUUAACAAAAAAUUGGUUGUCCACCAAAUCGCGUCUAAUUACCAAUUUUCACAAUUAAUUGUUAAUAACUAAUUAAUAAUGCGCGUUUUUGGUCAUCCAACAAACCACGUUUAAUUAACAAUUUUUUGUAAUUAUUAACAAAACAUUUUGACUUCUUUUUUGUGGCUGUCUAAAAAACCACAUUUAAUUAUUGAUUUUUUUUUCAAAUGUUAUAAAAAAAAUGUACUCUUUAAUUUUGGGUUGUUCAACAAAUAAUAUUUAAUUAUAGAAUUUUUCGUAGUUAAAUUGUUCUUUAAUUAAUUAAUAAUUUCACUUUUUUAUUGCCUAACAGAUCACAUUUAAUUACCAACUUUUGCCAAUUAUUAACACUUUUUUUUUGUUCCCAAAUAAAUCACAAUUAAUUAUCAAUUUUUUGUAAUUGACAUAUAUUAACAUUAAACAUAGAGUAAAUCUUAUAUAUAUUGACAGUGUAUAUACUAUCACCGUUUGAUUCGUGAUAUGUAUGUAAAUUUUAAAUUUAAAUUCAAAAUUUACAUAAUUUUCAUUCUUCUAACGCUGGCAUUGUAUACACUGUUAGUGUAGGAAGAUUAAUCCUUAAAUGUACGGUAUAACAAAAGGGUGAAUGGUUUCCUGCGACGUCCGCCCAUGUGGCGCAAGAGGAUUGGCUUCUUGGUGACGUGGCUAAUGGAGAUUGGUGCCAAGUUUGGUAGUAUUCCAUGUGCGCAUUUUUUUUUCUUUUAUUUGUUUCCUUUUGUGCAGGUGUUUGACCACCGGGUAAACUAGCAAGGGAGAGGUCUCCCUCAAUUCCUCAAUUCUUGGCUUUUGCAAUAAAGCUAUUGGCUGAAGAGUGGCAGAGCUGGUCAAUUCACAUCAAUCACCUCAAUCCGUCAACCCGUUGUACCAGAAGUUUCUUUCUCAUGGUUUCCUCCUGUUCUUCUCUCUUGAGUUUUCAUCUUCCUCUCAAAUCCACCGUUUCUCCACUUUUGUUCUGUAUACAUUUUCCCCCUUGAUUAAAUUUUCUCUCAUUCUCUGAUAAGUUUCAUAUUUUUUUGUCACAGGUUGAGAGGUCAGACUAUCAACUAAACCAUGAAAGAAAUGUGGAGAUUGUUCUCUAAAGGUGAACACUUUCUCUGUGAUUUUUUUUUUUCCUUUUUUUGUACAUUUUCUCCGGAUUUUUUCCCUUAUAUAUCUUUUCUGGCCAAGGUAUCUGUUGGAUAAAUAAGAAAGGAAAAAAGGAUGCAAUCUUUCUGUGUUUGAUGGCCGUUUUCUUUCCCGAGAUUUGUUAUCAACAGAUGUGAUUUUCUUAGAUCUUCAAAAAACCACGUCUAAUUUUUUUUCUUUUGUGAUGUUGCGAUGUUGCAGGUAUGAAAUUUGGAGAUUUUCUCCAUCGCCGUCAUGCUAUUUUGUAAGUUUUUUCCCCCUUUUGGAGACCCUUUUCCUCUCUUAUCCUUUGUUUUCUCUGAUCGACAACAACAAAACCAAAGAUCUGGUUGGGAUUUUUUGCUUCAGUUCAAUAUCUCUUUUUCCAAAGCUUCUCUACCCUUUUGUGGUUUCUUUCCUUUCAUUUUUUAACUUCCUUUUUUCCCCUUUUGUGAUGUUUUGAUGUCGCAAUUACGAAAUUUGCAGAUUACCUCCACCAUUCUCAUGCUUUUUUCUAAGUUUUUCCCCCUUUUUUAAAGGUAAGUUCUAUAUGAUUAUUUUCUAAAAAAGACUUAUUUUUGUUGUAUCCUCCCCUUAAUUUUUCCUUAUUUCCAUCUUUUUUCCCCCGUGACUAAAGACACGUCAAAAUGCAUUUAACAAAUUUGAUUAAGUUCUUUUUGAUGGAUUUAAAAAUUUUUUUGCCCAUGUUUGAUCAUAUAAUUUGUAUAUUUUUGUGAUGUUGCAGGUCCAAAAAUUGGAAUUUUAUUUGAUUCUCUCAAAAAACUACUAAUGCGGUAGUAUGGAUCAAUAUUAUUCCUAGCCUGUUUUGCAUAAUAUUGGUGGAGCGAGUCUUCUUCUAUUCGCUUAUAUGUGAUUACAAUUUAUAUUCUGCUUUUCUUUAUUUUUUUUCUCUGCAAAAGAGAUUGCUUUGGAUUUUUUUCAUUUAUUUAUUUGUUUUUAUAACCUAUUAGAUGUAAGUUUCAAUUUUGGUUAUCAUGAAGUGUUUAUCCUCUUAGUUGUGUCUUGGAAAGUUAGUUUUCUGACAUGUUUCCUUGAGCCUUUAUAUUGACAAUUUAUAAAUCCUCACUAGAUGUUAGGACUCAUUUGUGUAUUUCAUGGGUCUAUUCCUUUUGUGUUUUUUUGUACGUGGGGUUGCUUUUUUAUUUCUUCUUGUUUUUCCCCCUUUUUUGUUCUAAAGCACUGUAAUGAUACAAUCAUAUUUUAUUUAUCAAAUGUUUGAUAGAAUGCUAAAACCAUUAAUUUGUUAUACAGUAGCUAAAAUUGGAAAAAAAAUUGUCCACUCUAACCCACUUUCUUGACUUUCAACCGAAAGGCUUUGUUCCUCUAUCCAUGAAUUUCCUCUUCCUCUUCUCAUGGUCUUCACUUGCUAAUAAAAAAGGAGAGCUAUAUAUGCUUAUGUUAUCUCUUCUUCUAUUGUAGUUUUAAAAAAAGAAAAGUGGAGAUUGUUCUAUGAUAAAGUCUCUAAAAUUUCUCAAGGUAGUUUCCUCUAUUUUAUAGUAUUCUCUAUAUCAUCAUUUGGCCAGUAACGCUUACUAAUUCUUCUACACAGAGGUUAUGCCGGGCUUCCUUUUUUCCACCACCAACAUCGGUGCACAUGAGGUGAUAAAGUGGGUGUAUUUCUCCUGUUCUUUUGUUUAGGCCUUUAUUUUCCAUAGUUUGGUUGCCCGGUCUAUGUGAUUAUCCUCCGGAGAAAUGUUUUUGCUAAAGUUCUCUCUUGAAUAUCUCGCUUUUGGCCAUGGGCUCGAGGAGUCUGGAAACGUUCAUCAGAGUCGCUUUUCUUUUGGGCAUGGGCUCAAGGAGUCUGGACAACCAAGUUUAAUCCUUUUUUCAACUGAUCUUUAUUUUGUUGAAUGUCUCUAGCAAAUAUUUGUGUUAUACACUAAAAUGUAUUAUUGCCUUUUAAGGUGGCUUUUUCUUUCCACCUCAUUUAUCACAUACAUUCAAUAGAUGAUUUUACCUUUUUUUUUCUCUUUUUUUUUUCAAUUUACCUAAUUCAAUAUGUAUUAUUAGGUUCUCUAUACUGAGCUGAGGAACAUUAUGGUUUGUUAUCUAACAUUCGGCAGUUAGUUAAGAUACUUUCUGUCAUACUCUUUGUUCUUUAAUAGUUAUCAAGAAAUUGGGGGCCUUUUACAACAGGUAUGUGUUUUGUUUGUCCACUGCAACUAUGUAUUAUCAGGAAUUUGUAUUUAAUUAUAUGCUUUUGGUAUUAUGUUAAAUAUGUUCUAAGUGAUAUGAAAUAGGACUCUACUUCUUCUAAAUUUUCAAGUCUCAACUUGUGCUCUGAUUAUUAAAACCAUUGACAUUCAUGUAUUUGCUAAUAAUUGGGUGUUCGAUUUUAGUUUGCGAAGUUGCGUAUCUGUUAGUUUCAAUGAAUUCAUUUGAAUGAAGACAAUAAUUAAUGAUUUGCAUUUGAUGCUUGCUAAUAAUCAGUGGUUUAUUCCACUGGGGCAAAUCUUGCUUUAUUUUUUUUAAUCUUUAACCCCUUUUUAAAAACUAGAAGUGAGAUUUUUUGUCCUUGAUAGGUUUACCUUCCAAUAUGUAAGUUGUUGACUGGAAUUGUUUACAACCUAGAGGGGCUUGACUUUGAUGAUAAUUUCAUGGGAUGCUUGACUUCAAAAAAUUAAUGAUAAAUCUCAUUUGAUGCUUGUGAAAUGAAUGGUGGAAUUUUCCCUUUCUAUAAGGCAGAAGUGUUGUUUGGAUUUAAGCAUUUUGUCUUCUAUUAUUUUCUUAAAUAUGCUUUUAGUACUUCUGGUAAUAAAAGCGUUUCACUCAUUUGCACUUUAGAUGGUUAGGUACUGUUAUUUUUCUGGUGGUGACUUUCUUUUAACUGGCAAAAUGAUACGAAUCUUAGGAGCUGCCCAAAAGCUAUUACGUGGCCCAUUGACGAGUCGUUGGGGUCCAAUGAAGAGAGCCAAAGCCAAGCAUUCAAAGUUCAAGAAUUUCAUCUGCAACGCGUCGGACUGAUUCAGUUGUUUUAGCAGUUUCCGUUAUUUCCAAUUAUUUCCUAGUUUUAUUGCUUCCAAUUGGGUCUUGUAAGCCUACUAAGGCAUAUCUAGUAUGUUAGGGCAAUUAGUUAUGUUUUGGUGAAGUCUUCCAAUUCAAUUAGGAAACUUACCUCUUUCGCGUAGGCUUAGGUUCAGUUGUUUUGUAAGCCUAUAAAAGGCUGCUCAAUUCCAUAGAGAAGGGACUUUUUGGAUUUUCAGAAAUUAAGAGAGUUUCUCUAACUUCUUGUGAGCAGCCUUGAGCACCUUUAGAGGAUCUAAAGUUUUCGUUGACUUUAUCAAUCAGGAAACACGCCUGAUUGUGGUGUCUUCUACCGUUCGAAACUAUCUCGCGCUGCCCUUGAUAGUCUAGGACUCCGCUUACCCCAAACUCAUUACCUUGGUCUUGGGCUUGUGGUUCGAAUUCUGGCGUCCUCGGAUCCGAGUUUGUAUCAGUUGGUAUCAGAGCAUAGGUUAAGGUAUCAAGUUAUAUCCCUUUUAUUUUGUUCUUGUCGUAUUUGUUUAGAGUUUAUUAUUAGGGUUUUCUUCUUAAAUUCUUUUGUGUUGUCGGUCUGCCGCAGUUUGUGCUGCUAGUUGUCAGUUAAUCGUGUCUUUGUGUUUGGGUUUGGAAAAAAAAAACUCGAAAUCACUAUUCACGGCACUGUAGCGCCGUCACUGUUCACGGGUACUGUAGCACGGUUUUUGUAGCCGUACUGUUCACACGAUACUGUAGCAGCUACUGUUCAUCCGUUUCUUUUAAUUACAAGAAAAAAAAAUUUUGUGAAUUUUUGAGUCCUUGAAAUCACCAAAAAAAACAAAAAAGGGAGCCUAGCUGCACUUGCGUGAAUUAUUGGUAGUUGAUUGCUCAUCUAAGGUCAUUCUAAAUUUCCUCAAGGUGGGUGAUCAAGAGCUUUGAGAAAUUGGUGAGAAUUACUGGCACGUCCCAAUUUGAGUGACAUACACGAGUGUGAGAGAAAAUUGUGAAGGAGUGAAGUGAGGUUCUUUGUUUGUCAUUGAUCUCCCGCAGGUUUAAAACAUGUCAAACGAAGGUGAAUCCCAACCUUUUGAUUUAAGACUUCAAAUGGAGGAUAUGAUGGAAGAAUUCAGACGCAUGCUUAGAAACUCCAUUGAACCAUUGCACGAACGGAUGGAACAAUUGGAGUCAUCCAAAAAUCGAGCUAGUUCGAGCAGAGGAAGGUCGAGGCAAGUUGAGUCGGAUGCGUCUAAUAGUGAGGAUGGUGAGUUUGAUCUACAACCAAGGGUUGCCCGAGGAAGGAGAAACGGCGGGAAUGAAUCCAUCAAGGGAGUUAAGCUCAACAUCCCAUCAUUCCAGGGUAAGUCCGAUCCUGAGACAUACCUUGAAUGGGAACACAAAAUUGAGCUUGUUUCCGAGUGCAAUAACUAUUCAGAGCAGCAAAAGGUGAAACUUGCCGCCGUUGAAUUCACAAAUUAUGCAUCCGUAUGGUGGGAUCAACUUCGAACUAGUCGGAGGAAAAAUGGUGAGCGAGCAGUAGAAACUUGGGGAGAACUUAAAGGAAUCAUGAGGAGACGAUUUGUCCCAAGCUACUAUCAUAGGGAGUUACACCAACGGCUACAAACUCUCACUCAGGGCGACAAGAGUGUGGAGGACUAUUUCAAAGACAUGGAGAUGCUCAUGAUGAGAGCUGAUGUGAAUGAGGAUGCUGAAACCACUAUGGCACAAUUCCUCAAUGGCCUAAAAUCCAAUAUUGCUGAGAUAGUUGAACUCCAACAUUACAUGGAUAUGAGUGAAAUGUUGGAUAAGGCUGUGAAAGUUGAAAGGUGAAUCAAGAGGAGGGGUACCACUAGAUCUUCGUCCCAUGUAACUCCUUCAAGUUGGAGCACCAAUCCCGGACCUAAAGAGGAAAAACCUGCAAACUCAACUUCUCCACUCAAGCCUAAAGGGGACAUAGUUGGAUUGGGUACAAGUAAAGGAGCGCCAACCCCAUUCAAUGGUGCUUCUAACUCGCGCAAUCGGGAUUGAAAAUGCUUCAAGUGCCAGGGGUAUGGUCAUAUACAAUCCCAAUGCUCUAAUCAACGCAUUAUGGUUAUAAGGGACAAUGGUGAAGUAGCCACAAAUGAUGAGUCUGAUUAUGCAGGGAUGCCGCUUUUGACGGGUGAUGGGGACUCGGAGGAAGAGAUUGCACCGCUACCUGGGAAUGUAGGGUGUUUGGUUGCUCGUAGGACGUUAACCAUGCUUGCUAAGGAGGACGAGGGGUCUCAAUGGGAGAACAUCUUUUACACCCAUUGCAAAGUUAAGGAUAGGAUUUGCAACUUAAUUAUAGAUGGGGGAAGUUGCACCAAUGUUGCGAGUUUACUCAUGGUAGAAAAUUUGGCUCUCCCAACCAAGAAACAUCCUCGACCUUAUCGACUGUAAUGGUUGACAGCUGAUGGGGAUGUGCGAGUGUAUAGACAAGUAUCGAUGCCUAUUUGCAUAGGGAAGUAUGAGGAUGAGGUGAUCUGUGACGUUGUUCCCAUGCAAGCCACUCACAUUAUUUUGGGACGACCAUGGCAAUACGAUAAGGAUGUAUCCUUUGAAGGUCGAACUAAUAAGUAUUCUUUUAUCCAUGAUGGUAGGAAGAUUACUUUAGUCCCUUUAUCCCCCAACCAAGUUUGUGAAGAUCUAGAGAAGUUGAGGACGGAGAGUGCGCAUGAAGAUGCAAGGAAAAAGGAAAAUCGAGUUGCUAGCCAUGAGAGAAAGCAAAAUCUCUUGAUGCGCUUUACACCUGAGGGCAAUGCUUCGCGCCCCUCACCUCUAACAUUUGUUUUGUUUAGCGUCCACUCUUUUGUACAGGUUGAGCAAGGGGCAAAAGUUUUGGUCCUGCAAUGUUCUAUGCCUCCUUCCAUUGGAGCUUAUAACCGAAGUGCUGUUAGCCCGCGCUACCAAUUCUUGCGUUUCCACGAUUUGAGGACAAAUCUUUUUAAGAGGAGGGGAAUGAUACGAAUCUUAGGAGCUGCCCAAAAGCUAUUACGUGGCCCAUUGAGGGGUCGUUGGGGUCCAAUGAAGAGAGCCAAAGCCAAGCAUUCAAAGUUCAAGGAUUUCGUGUGCAACGCGUCGGACUGAUUCAGUUGUUUUAGCAGUUUCCGUUAUUUCCAAUUAUUUCCUAGUUUUAUUGCUUCCAAUUGGGUCUUGUAAGCCUACUAAGGCACAUCUAGUAUAUUAGGGUAAUUAGUUAUGUUUUGGUGAAGUCUUUCAAUUCAAUUAGGAAACUUACCUCUUUCGCGUAGGUUUAGGUUCAGUUGUUUUGUAAGCCUAUAAAAGGCUGCUCAAUUCCAUAAAGAAGGGACUUUUUGGAUUCUCUAGCUUCUUGUGAGCACCCUUGAGCACCUUUAGAGGAUCUAAAGUGUUUGUCGACUUUAUCAAUCAGGGAACACGCCUGAUUGUGGUGUCUUCUACCGUUCGAAACUAUCUCGCGCUGCCCUUGAUAGUCUAGGACUCCGCUUACCCGAAACUCGUUACCUUGGUCUUGGGCUUGUGGUUCGAAUUCUAGCGUCCCCGGAUCCGGGUUUGUAUUACAAAAGAUUUUUCACAAUUCACCUUGAGAAUGAAAAUUGUGAUUCAACUUAAGGUGACAUAGCGAUAACAAAAUAAAUGUGCUUAAGAAUAAAAUGGGCUAAGGCUUGCAAAGAAUCGUAGUCUUUAAGUUUUUAUAAAAUAAAAAAGGUCAAAUCAUUUCUAAUGAAACUAUUGCAUUACUUUGGCAUUGAUCGUAAACUAUGGAAACAUUUUUUUUUAUUAUUGGUUAUGCAUGCAAGUUCUUUGUGUAAUUUUCUAAAUGAAGGGGGAGAAUUAGCAAGCAUUAAGGGGAAAGCUAAGUGAUUUAGUUGUCUUUAUCUUCUACUUCUAUGCUUGUGAUUGUGUUCAAGCAUGUUUUAACACUUGAUUGAGAAGUUUGGUCAACUUUUGCUACCACAGUUAUGGAAGAAAAAAAAUCAGUAAUAAAAAGUUACUUAGGGGUUAGAACAAAAGAUAACGAAGUUAAAAUAGCAAAACGAUGAUGUGGAAGGUUAAUAAUAUAGCUAUCAUGGUAAAGUUUGCUAUGCUUUUUUUUUUUUUUUGUUGGUUUUCUUAAAUCUUUCUCCUAAUCAAAAGUAAAAGAUAAGAAAAAAAUAAGCAGAUUAAACGAAAAACAUGGAUUUUCAACCUAAUCGAGUCAUGUAAAAUGGCUGUGAACGAAUGUUGUGUACGACGCAUGAUUUUUUUGCAUUGUAAUUUCUUCUUCUUUCUCAGUACUUCUCUAGCCUUUUGGGAUUUUUGUGGGGUUUAGUAGUCUAAUUUUUGUGUAUUAAUUUGUAUAUAUAUGUUGUAGGUGCAAAAAAUUGGAAAUUUCUUCCAGCACCAGGUUCUGUAAAAAUUUUCCCUUUAAUAACGUGCAUUCUAUUUGGUUAUCUAUUUAAAAAAUACAAAUUUAGCUUUCUGUUUACAUCUUGUGCCUAAUUUUUUUGGAAUUUUUGCCAUAUUGGAAUCUUAAUUUUUUUCCAGAAUAAUUUAACAAAUUUGAGAAAGUUCUUUUUUGAUUUUUUCCUUUCAAAGAUAUUUUUGGGCUAUCUAAUCUGUUUAUUUUUUGUAAUAUUGCAAGUCCAAAAAUUGGAACUUUGCUUUCAUUUUUUUUCGUGGUUUUCUCUCAUAUCUUGUAAUUCUUGCUUUUGUUUGCUUUGCUUAACUACUUUUUUUUUCCUGUAUUUUCUUUACUCUGUUUAUUUGUUUACUUAUGUUUCUAUCUGUUAUUUUUCAAUCUUCUGUUUUUCCUAAGCUUUUUUCCUCAAAUGAAAAAAAUAGAAAAAAAUGAUUUUGUGUUUGUGGGGUUGCAAAGUAAACGUUUGGAGCAAAGUAGAAAAGAAAAUGUGAAAUUUGUUAGAUUGUGGGGUUGUAUGUUUUUGUAAAUUGUGGUUAUAUUCAGAUUCGAGAGUUGAAGCAAAGAAGUUGGGACUGCUAGCUGAGCCAUAUUUGGCGGGAGCGCAAUCAAUGUGUAGAUUGGUUGGCUAAAUGCAGCAUAUGAUCCAUUCGGGUUAUAAGUUCCCAAGAGAUGCAAGAUUUGUUAGAAUUGGAUAUGUUAGGAGUUGCAUAUCAUUAUUUUUUUUCUAUUUAAGAGAUUAUGGCCUCUUCCAAUGUACCAAAAAAUAAAUAAAUAAAAAGGUUCCUUUAUGAUAUAUAUCUUUGGUGCUUCUUGCAAGAUUUUUUUUUUCCCUUUUGAUUGGUCUUAUCCCAUAAUGUUGUAAAACUACCUUGGCAGCAAAAGUGUAUAGAAAUUUUGAGGUUGCUUUCCUCAAAGCUCAAAAGACAAGAAUAUCUUAAGAAUGAGUUUGGAAUUAUAAUGAGUAAUGCAAAUAUGUUAAUAUAGUUGCUUUUAAGUAUGAGAUUUCAUUUGUAAAUACUAAGGAUACCAAAAUAUAAUUUGUAUGUUGGGUCAAUGGCCAAUAGUAUAUGUCCUUAUCAUGUCUUUCUCAUGCCUUAUUGUCAGUGGCGGAGUUAGGAAUUGCAAUUAGGGGGGGGCGAGUCUCUGUUAUUUGGACAAAGUCCAAAUAACUUUCAAACAUUAUUAUUUGGGUCCUUAGGAGGGGGCAAAGUGAAAUUUUUUAUCAAUAUUUUGGGGGGGCAAAACAAUAUAAGAAAAAAUUUUUUUACUUAGAAAUUUUUUUAUAACAAUUGGAGGGGGGGCAAAGUGAAAAUUUUUAUCAAUAUUUGGGGGGUAAAACAAUAUAAAAAUUUUUUUUUUUACUUAGAAAUUUUUUUUUAACAAUUGGAGGGGGGGCGGUUGCCCCCCUGGCCCCCCCUUCCCUCCGCCCCUACUUAUUGUAUCUUUUAAAGGUAUUGUAUUAUAAUUUUCAUCUUUUGAACUUUAUGUUUUUAAUAAUUUUAAACUAAUUAUAUACUUUUUAAGAACACAAUUUUGAAUAUUUUGUUUAUCAUUCACAUUCAUAAUAAUUUGUAAACUAAGUGAGUAUAAUUGGGCAUUUAUCUCCUAGUAUUGGAUGUUGGUAAAUUGCAAUCAAAUACAUGCCUGGUAAAGGAUUUACAUGUGAACGUUGUUGAGAUAGUGACUAAUAGGAACUACAGUUUUCUCCUCAUCUCUUUGCACAAGCCGAUUGUGAUAUCUUUAUUUUAAGUUAGGGGAAUUUUUUUUUCAUAAAAUAUCAUCAUUUCAUUAAAUCUAUAUUAAUGGUAGAAAUUAUAUCAUCAAAUAUACAUAAAUAUCAAAGAAUAGAUCUGAAAAAAAGAUAGUCCAGAUUUGAAGAAUAAUAAAAAUUACAUUAUAAAACUCCAAAUUUAAAACUCCAGAUGUCUGUGCAUGCUUUUAAUCACCAGAUCUACUGAUUAACUAUUACAAAUCCAGAUAUUAUGGUGAGAUCUGCUGAAUAGAUCCAAGAAAUUCCAGAUCUGAUAAUCAAAAUUUGAAAAAACUCAGAUCUAAGAAAAGAAAAAUGAAAAAUUUAUCAAAAACUCUCACUAAAAAAUUUAGUAAAGAAGACAGUGCUCCCAACUUUCACUUUCAGGUUACUGAAUUACGUCUAGCUAAAUACACGAUACUACAAGGUAAAAUCUAGAGAUUUGGAGAGGAUCAGGGAGACGUGUCGUUCCUUUUGUUUCAAAAUGAAGAGGAAAUGAGUAGCAUUGUCAAGAAUCUUGAAAAAUUUACAGAAAAAGAGUUUCUGGUAGUAAAAGAUGUCAUACAAGACUCGGCAAAUGGAUGCUAUUGGCUUGUUGUUGAAUACGUUACCAGUUUGAUAGUAAUAUAGAAGAUUGAAAUAGUCUAGUCGGGGAAAAAACUUAGCCUGCCAUACAGGCAAAUUCUGAGAUAAAGCUAAUGAAUGUUGUAGCUUGGAUGAUACUAAUGACAUUAUAAGAUAAUUCUAAUCACAAAAUAUGAUACAGGGACAUGAUAAUUGGUUUUCAUAAGUUGCAGGAAAAGGAUACUCAAUAUAGUCCAUGAUAAUUAGUUUCCAUAAGUUGCAGGAAAAGGAUACUCAAUAUAGUCCAAUAUCUUCGUCCCCAAAUAUAUAUUGGACCUGGGACAUGGGAAAUUGGCUCUUUGAGGACCCAUGCACAAUACUUAUUAUACUUGCUUGAUUUCCUUUGUUUAAACAUAUAGACUCUUUGAGGACCCAUGCAUAGUACUUAAAAAUGCACAUACUUGCUUGAUUUCCUUUGUUUAAACACAUGGAUACGCUUGAUUUAACUUAUUGAAAUCAAUAUAGAAAACAAAAUCUAUUUUAAUUAAUUGAAACUUUCUAUAAAAAGUGUCAAAUGCAAAUUUGUUUAGAUAAUUUUGUAAUUUAUUAGAAAAUAAGAAGUUCAUAAUAAAAAAAAAAGAAGAAGUUGAGGAUAAGAUGAAUACAUGGAAUACUAAGUUAAAUUAUUUUAUUAGAACAAUCUACCUAACUAUGUUUUUUUAAAUAUGCUCAUAUGAAUGUUAAACAGUUUCGUAACACGAAAUGUGCUUGCUCGCUCCAUAAUUUGAUAGUACUAGGAGAUUAUGACCAUGCUCGCGCACGGUAGUAAAUUGUAAAUAUGCCCAGGAUCGAAUGAGGAAGUUCUUUAUUAUGUCUAGCCGUAAAACGCAUACUCAAUUCCUUUUCUACAGCCUGGGGAGAAAACAUUGGAGCUACAAGUGUGAGUGUUUGAUACAGCGCAUAUUCUAUUUGCAAGCAUGUGUAAACCGUUGAUGAAACUUCAUCUAUGAAGAAUAUCAUUUUUUAGGGAUGCACAGUGUACAUAUGGAUGAACAUGCAGAAAUGGAUAAUAGAGGAAUAGAUGGAGUUUUCAAACCAAACGUUGGUUAGAAAAGCCAUUAGAAUACAACUAAGUUGCCGCAUCUCCCAUGGUAGAAUACGCAUAAAAGCUAUCAUACCAUGGGAAGUGUUUUUCUGCACCAUGUCUAUCAAAGAUUAGAACAGUGUAGGUAGUAAUGGAUUCAGGAACAAAGACCAAAACUUCUCGAAACUGCAGUUGGUGCUUUGCCACAAAGAUGUUCCAGUUGUCCGUAAACUGCCUUCCACGCAUUGCAAUAGUUAUUGUUUUGUUUCCAGUCCUUAGAGUAAUCAAAGGAGUCUUGCUAUUAUGGACAAACUGAGCAACAAACCUUGGGACUUUCUAGCAUUGUAUGGUGUUAGAGUUAAGAAUGUUAUGAUACAAAGAUGCCAAAUAACUGAAUAAAUCUAUAUAUAAAACUCAGAACGUUAUGCCGAUUCUGUUUGUCAAUGAAUUGACAGAAACACAUGCCUUUGGUUAAAGUUUGUACAAAAUCAGGCCUCAUUGAUGAUGACACUCGCUGCCAUAUCAUUUUUUGCUUCGUAUCACCUGGAAAUUAAAGGACAGUCGCAUGAGGCAAAAAAAAUUAAAAAAUACAAAUGGGCUGAUACAAAACAAAAGCAGUUAACCCUCAACUUCCUAACUCAAGGGAUGGAUGUGACUGCAGUAUAUUAGGUAGAGGAUCUGUCCAUGGCAUGUAUACUUGUUUUUUGUCCUCGCAAAAGUGGAUGACGUCGAAAAUUAGGUGACCAGAAUGUCGAAGCAAGAAAAAGUAGUUUUCCUUGAUGAUGUUGCUGCGGCAAAACUCCUGCCAUCCUUUACCGAAUGACUGCCGAAGAAGCUAGAUAAGCCAUGUUCUAUACCCUUCUCUUAUAGUUAGUUAUCUGGCUACAAUAGUGCUUGAUUAGAAGGGCCUGGAAUUGAAUAGGAACUAUCUGUAGUUCAUAUGUAAAUAUGAGUUGCCUAAGGAACGAUGUGAGAUGGCACUUCAAUUCUUGAGAAUGAGAAAGACCUGAGGCAGCAGGGCAAAAGCAGGAAUAGCAAGACCUGAAAGGAAAACACCAUCCAUCACACAGGAAGUAACAGAGAAGCAAGUGCAAGAAAUUCAUCAAAACAGAUCACAAGAACGAUAGGACAUUUCUCGUAAAAUGUACAACACGAUGGAAAACAAGCAAAGCUGCAGCUGAGGCAGCGAAGUCGACAAAGACACAGCGGCAUGCUAGCCGUUUAGUUUUUUAGUUACUACAAUGCAUUUUUCCAUGGAGGCUAAAAAAACCAAACAACAAGCUACAAAGGAAGGUGAACAGCCAGCAGAAAAGAUACCAAAUAAAGCCGGCAGAAAGCAAAAAACCUUCCACGGACUAGACAAAAAGCAACGCACAGCACAUAUGUCUUUACGAAUGAAUGACAAGACUAAGUAAACAGGCCACAACUGAAAGGAAAAUAAAAGAAAAGAGGCAGUAAUGAUGAUGAGUAUAACUACUGCUCAUAAGAGCACGACAAAAGCGAUAAGCAACAGAAAACUGGAAAGUAGCAAGCUAAGCAGGGAAAAAACUGCAAAAUGGACGGAAACAAGAUACAUACGCUCAAAAAGAAUGGCAAAAAAAGAACAAAACAAGUACCUGACUCGAGUAAUAGUAGCAACAACAACGCUGAUGAGGACGGCAAUAAGAACAAAAAUAGACAGUAGCACAAGUUAGAUGAAGGCAAGAGCAACAGAUAGUGGAAGAAAGCUAACACACGCCAGGCAAGAGAAGAAGACAAAGAAGAUGGCGCAGAGGCUAUAUAAGAAUGAAAAAAUGAAGCCAUGGAUCCUCGUUUCACGGAAUGGCAGAAAGAGAAUCUAUGAAAAGCGGAAAGGCAGAAAGAGAUUCUACGAAAAGCGAAGAAGAGAAUGCACGAGAAGCUUGCAAGAGAAGUCUUGGAAAUGAAAGGAAUUAUUAUAUUGCAAGUAGAGCAAACCUCCGCUACUAAAACAAAGCAUGCCAGCAUAAUUAAACUCUUAAUAAUAACAAUGCAGCCGCCUCUCCGUAGCUGGAGCUCAGAUGAGAGAUUAGCGAUUGCCCUUCCCAAUAUAUGCUCUUCAUGAUAAGCACUUCGUCGUUGACACACUGGCGAUAAAAGCGGAAAGAGUAAUCAUCCCUCCUUAGUCCCAAAGCAGGGGGAAAAAAUGGGGAGGUUGGGUGGGGAAAAAAAAGGAAACAAAACAGAACAUAACUCAUUCUCGCACGUGAAACUCACAUGGAGGACGACCACACUCUCAAACCAUCUUCCCCGUUUAUACUACAUUUCUAAUGAUCCUAUGCAAAUCAUGUGUAACUUCAAUAUCCUUUGCAUAACUUUUUCUUCUUUCAUAGCUUGAAUCCUUGGGAAAAUAUCAUUCUUCAUCUUUUUCAACCAAAGCUGAAGCUAUACAUCAUGAUAGCACAAAAAAAUUACAAAUUAGCCAAAAGAGUAAAGAAACUACAAAUUCUAAAUUUUUAGUGUAUGAUACUCUUGAUUGACUUUCAGUCAAAUAAUUACCCCUCAAAAUUCAUACUUGAAACACCUAUGAUUUUUUCUUUAUUUUAAGAUGUUAUGGUUUCUUUGGAAUACGUAUGGACUUAAAAAAAAAAAGCUAGAAAAGUUUUAUUAAAACUUAAAGUACGAAAGAAAGCAAUGUAUACAUAGGCCUGCCUAAAUAUAGUGAUAAAUCACUCUAUCUUAUUUUUAGAAGGCUUUUGAACCAAAUACCCAAUUUCCCAUAAAAGAUGAACUUAAAAAUAUGAAAAAAGAAAAUUGAGUCAUCCUCGGAUUAAUAAUCCAAAUCAUCUAGUGUUUGGUUGAUUCUAGGUUGGAUAGAAUAUAUUGAAAAAUAAUUCUAUUCUGUGUUUGGUUGGAGAUUGGAUGAGAUAGAUUAUUAUUUUAAUGACCAAAGUACCCCUUAAUUUGUAAGAUCGUUUUAAUAAAAUAAUUUAUAAAUUUAUAAAUUUUAUUAAAAUAAAAUAAUUUUAAACUUUAGAAUUAUAAAGUAAAUCAAGGGCUUUGGUAUAUAAAAAUUUGCAUUCACUUAAAUUCAGCUCAUUCGGGCACUUAAAAAUAGGUUCUAACCUAGUUUCUAAAUCUAAAUUUGAAAUUUAAUUAAACAAUGGGCUGAAUUUUGGCUAAGUUAGGGUUAAGUUGAAUAAAAUCUAAUCCAUUUAAGAGUUUUAAAUGAGCUAAACUCAAGCCAAUAGUAUAUGUUUCUUUAGACCGAAUUUGAGCUUAUUAAAGCCCUCAUUCGUAAAUCCCAACUGAUAAAAUUAUGUAUUUAUAUAGAAUUUGAUUGAGAAAAUAAGGUUAGUAAAGGCAAUAUAGUCCUUUUAUUAUGAUGUAAGUAGGGACAAAUUAGUCAAAAAAUUUGAACUAAUUAAUAGGGGUAAAUUUGUCAAAAAUUUUAAAAUAAUGAAUAGGCACAAAUUAGUCAAAAAUUUUUAAUAUAAUUAGUAGGGGCAAAUUAGUUCAUUUAUUAUUAUAUUAUUGUGUGAGAGUAUGGUUAUAUAAUAUUCAUCAUGAAUAUGUAUCAUUCACAAGGGCAAAUUGGUUCAAAUAUUGUUAUGUUAGUAGUAGGGGAAAAUUAGUCAAAAAACUUUAAAUUAAUUAGUAGGAGUUAUUCAACAGACUUCAAAAAACUAUCCCUAACCUCCCAGUCAAAUUUUUGCAUGUGUAAAAGAAAAUAAUCAAAUCAAGCUCAUGAGCUCUUUCUUUUGUUUAUCCGAUGCUGAAAUUUUUUUAGUAAUUUUUUGUGAUUAUUAGGUAAAAUGAUACUCACCAUUUAAGCCACAGUCAAUAUAUACACUCAAUCAAUUACUUUUAGAAGCAACUGUACUCAUUUUCUCAUUAAAAGAACUAUAGUAAUCACUUCAUAACUAUUCUUCUAUACGUGUAGUUUAUCUUUAACAUUCAAUGAUUUGUUAGAUUAUUUUUCUAUUUUCUUCAUUAAAGAAUUAGUCUUUCCUUGCUAAGUAUCUAAGUUCUGUUUGGAUUGAUCAUUUUUUAAAAAACAAGUUUUUCAAAUACAAUGCUAUAGUAAUACACAAUAAUUCAAAAAACAUUUCAUCCAUACAAUAUAUCAAAUAUUUCAAAAAAUUUUUAUGGUAAAAAUUUUUCAUAUACACUGUUACAAUAAAAUUUUUUAAAAAAACCCCAAAAAAUAACUAAUCCAAAUGAUAGUCUUUCCUUUAUUUCUCCCUCUACUUUUCAUUUAUUACACCAAGUCCAUAAAAUCCUCUCAAAACCCAGGUCAAAUAAUUAAUCUAAGUAAUGAAAUGUUUAAACACUCUAAAGCUUCUCUCGUUUUUUUAGUUUAAAAAGUACAUUUAUCUCUUCCCCGAAAGGACCAAUUUCUCAAUCGUAAUGCAGGCCUCCAAGGCUAAAGGCAGUUUUCAAAAUAUCAGGGGGUUUAACAGCUAUUUGACCGAAUUUCAGGGGUCCUUUGAACAUUACUAUUACCUCUUACAAGUCCUGGAAUUGCAAAUUUGUCUCCCAGUCCUGACAACCCCACCCAACUCUUAAAAACCCGACCCACCCGACUUUCCUAUUUUGGAUAUGGUUGAUUGGAACAUCACCGUUCCCAACGGCAGCAGGGGUCCCGAGCGUAGCAAGAAACGCCAAUCACGAAAAAACCCAGAAGAGGAAGAAGAAGGGAUUCUUUGAUCGUCCUCGGUCAUUGCCAGCGGCCACUAUUUUUCACUUACUCAUGUGGGUUUCUGUUUGUUCUUAAUCUUUUGUAGUCAUAUUUGAUGGGUUCAUGUUUAUUUAUUUUUGUUUCUUUUGAUCCUCUUGGAAGUUUUGUUUGAGAAUUCUUGGUUUUUGAUUUAGCCACUGAAUGUGUUUCAUGUCUGAAUUUUCUGCUCAACUGCCUUCUGGAUAGUGGGAAUUCAAUUCAAUUCAAUUAUGGGCAAUUAACUUAGGCUAGUUAGAUUCAUUUCUGUGAUUAUUAUUUCUUGAUCAGAAAGCUAGUUUCUUUGGUUUUGAUGAACUGAAUUUAGCUUGCUUUGUAUGGAGUCUCAGCAUCUAUUGCUGAAUGUUGUUGUACUCUUUUUCUUGCAGUUAUUAUCAAGUAACGAAAUGCUUUAAACAGUGAGAUUCCCUGGCUAGACAUGGUGUUCGGAUAGUGCAAAGAGUUGAGAUUUUAACUUGAGUGAGUGAUAAAUAAUGUACUUUUUUCAAGGGCCAUCAGCCGCAGCUCGAAAGGUGACAAUGUGUAGAAUGUAAUGGUAAAUUUUUCUCUAGCGAGCUGCCCUUAAGACCUCCUUGGACUUUUUUGAGGCUGGUACUUAAUUAGUUUUAUAGGUGCAGACAUUGAUGCCUGUCAAACAAAAUAGAGAUCUUUAUGAGAGUGAUAAUUGUUUCCUUUGCAGGUUAACUAGCUUAAGUGUACCGCUGGUGAUAUCUUAAAGGAGCAUUUGAAGAUAGGACUGAAGUUGAGUGAUCAAUUGGUACACAGAAAACAUGUCGUUCUCAUUCUUCAAGCCCUCGCGGCCUAAAACUCCACAAGAACUUGCCAAGGCCAUAAGGGACAGUCUUAUGGCUCUCGAUACCAAAACUGUUGCUGAAGUUAAAGCACUUGAGAAGGUCCUAUUUUUUUGUACCUUCUUUUCUCAUUGUUGCUUUAAGUUAAUUUUUUUUGAACCAUGUGUUGAUAGUUAAAGUUCAACAUGGUCAUUCUAGUGAUGCACUCUUCUUUAGAAAAUUAACUCAGUCAUGCUAUUUUUGGAGUUUGUGGAUAAUGCUAAAGAAAUGAUAAUCUCAUGCAGCUGUUGUUUGGACUGAGUUUUCAACUGUGAGUUGUCAUGAUGGAGAAUUAAGUGCCAUAAAUAAAAUAGACAAGGCUUCGGUUGUUUUCAACGUCUGGAUUUGGUCAGUAGAUAAAAGCUUAAACUUUUAAGGAGGCUAUAAUUUCUGCAUUUGGAACACUCACUGUCUUUUUGAGAGUAGAAUUCACUUGUUUUGUUGGUUCAAGUUGUUAUUUUAAGUGUUUUUGUCUUUUACUUGAGCGUGGCUAUAAAUUGUGGGUAAUUGUAUAAUAUGACACGGUGAGAGAUAAGGAAUGUAAUAAAUGUAGUGGUACGAAGCGAUGAAGGUUAGAUUUAGUAUAGAUGAAUUAUUAGAGUCUUCUUUUUUACUGCUUACUCAUACUUUUCUUUACAUUUCUGUAUGAGAAAUUUUCUAUGUCAUCGUUUGGUUUUCCUAACUAAAAAAAUGUUAUUGGGUUGCUUGAGAAGGAUUCCAGACCGAAUAUUUAUUGCAUAUAUGCAGUUAGAAUUUACUCAGUCUGGACAAUACAUGUUGUGCAAAAAUACUAGUGUUAUUAAUUAUUUGAGAAUUCUAGUAAAAAUUCUUAAACUGAAGGGCUCAAUCUCUCAAACGUGCUAUGCAUUCUGCAUAGAUGGCCAAAAUUCCCAAUUCUCUCGAGUUUCCUUCCCCUUGUAUAUCUUAUAGGUUGCAUCAAUUUCUGAUCUGCUGGUUUAAGGAGUAUGCCUCGCUUUUACCUUCACUCAAAUUGAUAUCUGCACUAUUAAUUGCUUUAUCCAGAAGAAAAAGAGAAAAGUUAUUCCAUGAACUAUUUAUUCAGCAAGGUUCUGGAAGCAAUUUUUAACUCCUUGAGGCAACAUUUCUGUGUGUCAAAGGAGAAGGAGCUUUUUUUUUCCCCCUAUUCAUCUGGUAAUUCUCCUUGGUGUUUUUUACUAGUUCAGGAGCACAUCUUGGUUUACAAGGUUUUCCUGAUUCUUAAACGAAUUGCUGAUGUAGUUGCACUUAAUUACUGGGCUAUAAUUUUUCAACUAAUGGACAGAUUUUCAUGUACUUCAGACACAAUGUAGACGGAUUGCUUGAAUUUUUUUUAUAAUUAAAGUAAGGAUAUGAAAAGCUAGUUUCAUGGAAUAUUGUCAUUCAUGUGUUAAUUGUUCCUGUGUCGCACAAUAGAGAAAACGUUGAGCCCUUGAGAAGCUGAAAACUUGAGUAUGGUCCUUGCUUACUAGUGCUAAUAUGAUUGCAAUGAGAUGUCACAUGAUGAUAAUUUGGAAAAGAAGAUGAUAACCUAUUAAGUGCUUCUAGUGCAAAUAAGGGAAAUGGAGACACUGAAUUUUGUAGCAUUUAGUGAAUUGUCGUACCCUUGAUCUGCCAAAUGGUCCUUGCCUUGUCUGAUUUCAUUUUGUAUGAUCCAAUGUGGCUCUUUGUAACAACUUCUUUUAACUUGCUUUACGGAACUCCCCUAAAAAUGUAAGUGAAUCAAAUAAUUCUGGCAAAGUGAUCUAUCAAAAUUCUUGUCUGCCUGCCUCUUGUGUAUGAAGCACGUAUAAUGACUGCUUUAAAAUGCUAUAUAGGCAUUAAACUAUACAAUGUUGAUGUAUCUUAUAGUGUUGUUUCUAACAGGCUAUGGAAGAAGUUGAGAAGAAUAUUAUGACAAUGAGAGCUCUGGUUUCAGGAGAUGGGGAAGUUGAGCCAAAUGCUGAUCAAAUUUCACAAAUGGCAAUUGAAAUUUGUAACGAGGAUGUUAUUUCUCUUUUCAUCCAUAAGUUACCCAUACUGGGAUGGGAUGUAAGUUGUUCAUACUCUAUUCUUCAAAGAGACCUGCUUUAAUAUCUGUUUUAACUUAUUUGCUUUACAAACUUUUCUCAACUUUGCUAGGCUAGAAAAAACUUGGUCCACUGUUGGUCGAUAUUGCUGAAACAAAAGGUUGAUGACAUAUGUUGCUGUGUGCAAUAUAUGGAGAACCACUUGGAGUUGUUAGACUUCCUUGUCGUGUGGUAAGUAUUUACCCUUUCAUGUUGUGUCCUAUCUUCCUCACCCUUUUCCAUGCUUUUUGAACAGUGAAUUGUUUUAUUGCACGAUUUCCCUGAUAGAAAGCUUAUCUUUCCUGCCAACUUAAGGAAGGGACAAAAUGGUAGAUCUAGGUUAUUAAUGCCCCAGUUAAUUCUUCAAAGACAAUGUGGAUUUGAGUGUAAUAUCUGCAAUGGUAUUAAAACACAGAUCAAUCUUGUAAUGAUUAGCUGGUUGAAACUCAGCAGAACAAUUGAAUGUCCACUCUCAAGUCUGAAAAUGCAUUUGGUAUUUAGUUAUUUAUCAUUUAAUUGGUUAUCUAACAAAAUUAGACAAAAAAAGAAAAAGGAAAAGAAAGGAGUCAUUCAGAUAAUUCUUUAUUUACAUCCUGCUACCAAGGUUCAUAGCAACUAAUGUCUCAAAUGUGGUUCAGUUCUGUAAGAGUUUCCAAGUGCAAUGAGUACAUGGAUUUUGAACUAAUUAAUGAAUUUUUCUUUUAUAAGUUGAUAAACUUUAAUAACAAGGUGUAGCGGAUAAAGCCUUAUCAUCGACAAUAGUCAAUGAACACUAGGUCUUAAAGCCAAUAAAAGUCAUAUACUAUUGCAUUUGUUAGAGUAGGAUGGAUGAUCUAAACUACCAAAAACAAAAUAAAUAUCAGUGCUUGCUAUAACUUCAAAGAAAAAUUUUCUAUCACAUCUCUAAAUUGUAUGUCUUUUUUAGCAGAAGCAGAUCGUAGCCAGUCGGUCAUAAUUUUAUAGAGUUCUAUUGCUGUUUCCCUACUUUGUCUACGUCAACCAACUAAUAUGAUCUGGACUUUAUCCAGAUAAACUGACAGGCACUUAAGAAGUUUAAGUACCAUGAGCCAAUCCUUGUUACCCCUGAAUAAUUAAUCAACAAGCUUUUUAUACAUGAAAUUAUAUAUCUUUCUUUUGUUUUUCUCAACCUUUUAGCAGUGAUAAAUGUGUCCUUAACUAGCACAGAGAGCUAGCAAGGCUAACUUGGAGUGAUUCAUUGGAAUCUUUCAUUCUUUCUCUUCGUUAUUAUGAUGCAGUGAUAGGAAAAUAUCACUGCUAAGAUAUUGCAUUCAACAUUUAUCUUCACUUUCCUAAGAUUGUUGCUUGAAAUGCUGUUUAUUAGUUCGCUAAAAGCCUCCAAUACCUAGUGUUGUAAGGGUCUUUUAAAGUCAAAAAGCUACAUCCAUCCUUUUAGCCAGAUGUUUCAGCGCUUCAUGCAUUUAAUCUAUUAGUAGUUUAGGUUGAAUGUUAUUUUCUGACAUGUUGCCUCUUGUUAUCUUUGUGAGCAGCUACGACAACAAGGAAAUUGCCUUGCAUUGUGGGAGUUUGUUGAGGGAAUGCAUCAAAAGACCAUCUCUUGCAAAGUAAGAAAUUAAAGUUCUUGGACUGCCCUGAUUUUCCAACAAUAAAUGACUGUGGUAGAAUGUUAAUAGAUAAACAAUUAGGAGACAUGGCAUAAAAGAUAGCUUUCUGUCCCACACACAUCUCUCUCUCCCCCUCUCCCGCUUCAUCUCUCUCUCUCUCUCACUCUCUCUCUAUCUCUCUCUCUAUCUUUAUAUAUGUGUGUGUGUGUGUUGUGUGUAAAUAAUAGAAUUCCUGGAAUCUAGAAAAUGGAAAUCUAAAGCCUUUUGUCCUUUGUUUUUUAUUCCCAACCUAUAAUGGUCAUAUUGUCAGCAUCUGCAUUCAUGGGAGAAAAAAGUCAAUGGCUGUCACUGAAUCUUGCAACACAUAUUUCAUUGUUCAAUUUCCUUCUUUUCUUGGGAAAUUUUUUCCCAUUGUAUUCUGUUUCAUGGCAUAUGUGAUGUUCAUACUAACAAUUCUUCAGUAGAAUCCUUUCAGGUACAUAUUGGGGUCUCCAAGCUUUGAGUUAUUCUUCAAAUUUGUAGAGUUGCCGAACUUUGAUGUCUCUUCUGAUGCAUUUUCUACUUUUAAGGUUGGAUAUAUGCAUAUAUGAUUUCUGGUUUAAGCAGUGUUUAUUGUUAGUUUUUUGCAUUUUUUGCUUAUAUUUGUAAAAGCUUUGUUCAGGAUCUACUAACUAAACAUGAAUCAUCUGUUGCUGAGUUCUUGUCUGCUCACUACAAUGAGGUUAGUUCCUCCUUUCCAGCUUACUGAUUGACAGAAUAGUUCCUUUAAUUGGAAUAGAUCAAAUGUGAAACAAAAAUCACUCUUCAUUCAUGCGUAAUGGAAGUAUUUAUCUCAAAAGUAGAACUGCUUCUGUUAUUCUUUUUCUUCUUUGCCUUUUGAUUUACUAAACAAUUUGUUUUUCCAGUUCUUUGAGCACUAUGAAACACUUUUGACCUCUAAGAAUUAUGUGACAAGAAGGCAGUCUUUGAAGGUUGGUGCUCCGUUUAUUUGAUAAUUUAAUACUUGUAAUACUCCUGGUUGUCACUUAGUCUAAUGCAAAUUGAAUUUCAGCUUCUCUCAGAAUUUUUGUUGGAGCCUCCAAAUACCCAUAUUAUGAAGCACUACAUUACAGAAGUCCGCCACUUGAAAAUCAUGAUGACAUUACUGAAGGUUUUUGUUACUAUUUCUCAUUACCUCUAGGACGAACAGCUGCUCCAUUUGCAAGAUCAAUAUGUCAUCUUAAUAAGAAACAAGAAUUGGAUUUGUGGAUAUUUGAGAAUGAUAUGAGUGUAAGGGAAGAAUAAUGAUUUCUGCACAAUGUGCUGCCUUCUAAAAAUAUCUAGAUGUUCAUUGACUCUAUUAUUACAAAAAGUUGCAUAGUCUAAAUUUCUUAUUAAACUGUGUUUCAAUGUAUAGAUAUAGAUGUAUAUAUUCUCAGGUUUUAUCUUAAAGAAAAGGUCUAAAAUGCUGUCUAGGAAUCUCCCAAAGUUGUCUUGGAUGGUCCUUAUCAAGCAGUUUCCAUGUGACCCAAACUGCAGGCAUCUAAAAAUGGUUCUUGGUACCAUAAAAUAACUGUUUAUUUUUAUGCCAUCUCAAGUGAUGUGCUAAAAAUCCCAAAUAUGUUACAAGGUUUGAUGGAGGCGUGUUUCCUUUCCAGGUAGUUAUAACUGCAUGAAUUUCAGGGCAGUUGCGAGGGACAAAAAUUACUUCUCAGCAAUAAAGUUGGGAAAAGCAGAAUAUUUUUUAAUUGUUGUUGCAUCAGUUGCUGACCACUUAAUAUCCACUUUCCCCAGGCUGGAAAACUGGUUUUGAUUUGCAUUUAUGAUCGAUAACAAUUUUUUUAAUAUUGUAUGCAGGAUUCAAGCAAAAACAUCCAGAUUUUGGCUUUUCACAUUUUCAAGGUGCUCAAAUUUUCCUUUCUUACUGACUGCUGGUUUUGAUCCCCCUUGGAAAUGGUAAAUUAACAAUAAUAGCGCCUCCAUUGAGAGGUGGAAGAUUUGGUAAGAGAGUUUCUCUCUCAAAUUUUAUGAGGUCUCAUUUCCCCAAAAACUUUUUGAUAGAAGAGCCAUAAGGAUCUCAGUCUGAGCAAGACACUAAGGGAAAAUACUCGAGUGAAAACAAACCACACUAGUAUCCAUGGCUUAGGAUAAGCAAAGCUUCUGUGCCUAAAGGGGUUCUUUAUGUAUAAAAUAUUGAUGUGCCAUGGUAUGUGUGUUUGAUGUAGAACAAAUUGUAUAAUACAUGCAUAAUUAAGAUGCUUAUAUGUACAUAUAAUAUUAUUCGACUUGCAUAUUUUUGCUGUUAUAACCCAGAAGAAAAAACUAGAAGGAUGGUUGAUAACAAGCUAGUUACAACUCUGCAGAACAAAAACCUCUUGUGCUUUAUCAAUUAGUAGUUGAUGUUGUUAUUUGAGUAGCUAAGUUUGUCUUGGCAUUAAAUCCCAAUGCCACCUACUUUGAUAAUUUUAUAAGCUGUGCCCCUUGCAGAAGAAGCUGAAUUACAUGAUACGACAUGAUUAUGGUUCAUGCUCUUCAUUUGUUUUUGUGUGUGUGUGUGUAUGUGUUUUUUUUUUCUUUUUCCACGGGAGUUGCAAAGUUUUAUCCUUUUCAAAUCAUAUGUCCCAAGAAAGGAGCAACGUGCCAGGUGCAUCAGGCUUGUCCUUGUAUGAGUCUUAUUUUACGUGAAGCAUUUGGAUUUUUGUCGUGUGCUUAGAGUAGCAGCAGAGAGAUCAUACUGCUACAGGGCAAACUGUAAAAUAUUUCCUGCUAAUAUGUGCACAGAAAGGAUAUGCUUUGCCCAGGGUGCAUCCCAUGGAAAAAUAUAUGUAGGCUUAGUGCAGGAAUCUGAAGUUUUUG